CAGCCGUAAACAAUGUGCGUUAGGUGUGUCGGUAACCACGCGUUACUGAUGCGCCGAAGAGAAAUCGUGAAACGCACCACCUGGGAAGUACGGUCGCAAGGCUGAAACUUAAAGGAAUUGGCGGGGGGAGCACCACAACAGGUGGAGCCUGCGGUUUAAUUGGAUUCAACGCCGGACAUCUCACCGGAUAAGACAGUUGAAUGAUUGUCAAUCUGAAGGUUUUACAUGACUAGCUGAGAGGGAGGUGCAUGGCGUCAGUGACU
RNAcentral lists this ribosomal RNA (263 nucleotides) under uncultured archaeon. RNAcentral describes it as "partial 16S ribosomal RNA". It matches the Rfam family "Archaeal small subunit ribosomal RNA", at positions 748 to 1008 of the family's 1478-position model. The record is from RNAcentral.